AAAUACAUAUUGUGAAGUUAAAGUUUGCCACCCAGACACUGAUAAAAGCAGCACUUUAUUUCAAUUUAAAGAAAGAAAAUAACAUGUACAGUAAAUGCCAUGAGAUGCCAAGAAUACAUAUGGAAGGAUGUAAAACGUAUUCAGUAUGAAAAAAAACAAUAAAUUGAUAGCCCAUUCAAAUGCAAAGCAUCCACAUCCAACAAAAGAUUAAAACACAUUCCUCAAUAUUCCAAGUCACAGAGCAGGUAAUUCUUUUAGUGUCAUAUAUCAUCAUAUUACAUUGUAAUGAAGAAUGUUGAGAGAUGCUUCAUUCCAUCCCUUUUAUCUGGAAAGCUGCUGCACUGGUACCAUCAUCUACGACGUGUAUUAGAGGAGAAUCACAGUAUUUCAGAAAACAGCUGAGAAACAUGUAACUUCUUUUUCUCUUACUUUGUGCAGAUGAAAUUAAACUUGUUGUGGUCUGACAUGCUGAACCAGAGUUGGUCCUCUCUAGUCUCCAUGGCACCACUCAUGUCGCAGUCUCCUGUUUUAUUCUCCAGAGCCCAGCGAUUGAAUUCCAACUGAUGAUCAUAGACCCAGAACCAGACCCCCAGGAUGCAGGUGUGGUGAAGGGCCAGCCACACUGGCCUCCAGCUCGGCCCAGGCCUGGGAAUCUGGUCGAGGAUGAAGCCAGGUCCCUCUGUCUGUCCCUGCAGUGGGACAGGACAUCCUCCCACAUCUUGUUCUCUUUGAUCAGCACAAAUGUGCUGCAGAUCUGGACCAAAAGCUAAUAAGACAUUGUACAAGAGGAAUCAUUGUGCCAAUGGACCAGGGAACCUAAUCACAGUAAACGGCAGCAUGAAAAAAGAGCAAUACAUCAAGAUCCUCAACAACAACAUCAGACAGUCAUGUUAGUCUUCAGAAACGGACAAGGACUUCCUGACGCUACGUGACGGCUCCCAAACCUCACUGUCGUCCGUGUCAUCACCGCCAUCGUCCUCAUCUUCUUCAUCUUCUUCCUCAUCUUCCGCCCCUGCGACACUCCGCUCCCCC
Acanthopagrus latus (yellowfin seabream) is the source of this 1032-nucleotide long non-coding RNA. RefSeq lists it as uncharacterized. The transcript has 4 exons. Lineage: Eukaryota; Metazoa; Chordata; Actinopteri; Spariformes; Sparidae. The record is from RefSeq and is a predicted model, not a curated record.